Molecule: unclassified non-coding RNA, 209 nt
Filed under: Hypholoma fasciculare
Lineage: Eukaryota; Fungi; Basidiomycota; Agaricomycetes; Agaricales; Strophariaceae
Description: partial internal transcribed spacer 2
Source: RNAcentral
AAUUCUCAACCUUUAUUAACUUUUUGGUUAGUAAGUGGAUUGGAAGUGGGGGCAUGUUGGUUUCUUCAUUGAAAUAAACUCCCCUGAAAUGCAUUAGCUGGUUGCCUUGUGCGAACAUGUCUAUUGGUGUGAUAAUUAUCUACGCCGUGGGCUAUUUGCCGUUUAUAGCACUGCUUAUAAUCGUCUGUUCAUUCAGACAAUAUAUGACA